UAUUGGACAAUGGGCGAAAGCCCGAUCCAGCAAUGCCGCGUGAGUGAUGAAGGCCUUAGGGUUGUAAAGCUCUUUUACCAGGGAUGAUAAUGACAGUACCGGGAGAAUAAGCUCCGGCUAACUCCGUGCCAGCAGCCGCGGUAAUACGGAGGGAGCUAGCGUUGCUCGGAAUUACUGGGCGUAAAGCGCACGUAGGCGGCUUUGUAAGUUAGAGGUGAAAGCCUGGAGCUCAACUCCAGAAUUGCCUUUGAUACUGCAUCGCUUGAAUCCAGGAGAGGUGAGUGGAAUUCCGAGUGUAGAGGUGAAAUUCGCAGAUAUUCGGAAGAACACCAGUGGCGAAGGCGGCUCACUGGACUGGUAUUGACGCUGAGGUGCGAAA
This 379-nucleotide ribosomal RNA is filed under the name uncultured bacterium. Its description in RNAcentral is "bacterial SSU rRNA". It matches the Rfam family "Bacterial small subunit ribosomal RNA", at positions 362 to 758 of the family's 1533-position model. The record is from RNAcentral.